GGGGGUAUAGCUCAGUGGUAGAGAGAGUGCUCACCUAGCAUACGGGAGGCUCUGGGUUCAGUCCCCAGUACUACCA
Molecule: transfer RNA, 76 nt
Filed under: Fukomys damarensis (Damara mole-rat)
Lineage: Eukaryota; Metazoa; Chordata; Mammalia; Rodentia; Bathyergidae
Rfam family: tRNA
About the family: Transfer RNA (tRNA) molecules are approximately 80 nucleotides in length. Their secondary structure includes four short double-helical elements and three loops (D, anti-codon, and T loops).
Source: Rfam by way of RNAcentral